UAGGGAAUCUUCCACAAUGGGCGCAAGCCUGAUGGAGCAACGCCGCGUGAGUGAAGAAGGUCUUCGGAUCGUAAAACUCUGUUGUUAGAGAAGAACGUGUGUGAGAGUGGAAAGUUCACACAGUGACGGUAACUUACCAGAAAGGGACGGCUAACUACGUGCCAA
RNAcentral lists this ribosomal RNA (165 nucleotides) under uncultured bacterium. RNAcentral describes it as "partial 16S rRNA". It matches the Rfam family "Bacterial small subunit ribosomal RNA", at positions 355 to 511 of the family's 1533-position model. The record is from RNAcentral.